GACGAACGCUGGCGGCGUGCCUAAUACAUGCAAGUAGAACGCUGAAGAGAGGAGCUUGCUCUUCUUGGAUGAGUUGCGAACGGGUGAGUAACGCGUAGGUAACCUGCCUUGUAGCGGGGGAUAACUAUUGGAAACGAUAGCUAAUACCGCAUAACAAUGGAUGACACAUGUCAUUUAUUUGAAAGGGGCAAUUGCUCCACUACAAGAUGGACCUGCGUUGUAUUAGCUAGUAGGUGAGGUAAUGGCUCACCUAGGCGACGAUACAUAGCCGACCUGAGAGGGUGAUCGGCCACACUGGGACUGAGACACGGCCCAGACUCCUACGGGAGGCAGCAGUAGGGAAUCUUCGGCAAUGGGGGCAACCCUGACCGAGCAACGCCGCGUGAGUGAAGAAGGUUUUCGGAUCGUAAAGCUCUGUUGUAAGUCAAGAACGGGUGUGAGAGUGGAAAGUUCACACUGUGACGGUAGCUUACCAGAAAGGGACGGCUAACUACGUGCCAGCAGCCGCGGUAAUACGUAGGUCCCGAGCGUUGUCCGGAUUUAUUGGGCGUAAAGCGAGCGCAGGCGGUUUGAUAAGUCUGAAGUUAAAGGCUGUGGCUCAACCAUAGUUCGCUUUGGAAACUGUCAAACUUGAGUGCAGAAGGGGAGAGUGGAAUUCCAUGUGUAGCGGUGAAAUGCGUAGAUAUAUGGAGGAACACCGGUGGCGAAAGCGGCUCUCUGGUCUGUAACUGACGCUGAGGCUCGAAAGCGUGGGGAGCGAACAGGAUUAGAUACCCUGGUAGUCCACGCCGUAAACGAUGAGUGCUAGGUGUUGGAUCCUUUCCGGGAUUCAGUGCCGCAGCUAACGCAUUAAGCACUCCGCCUGGGGAGUACGACCGCAAGGUUGAAACUCAAAGGAAUUGACGGGGGCCCGCACAAGCGGUGGAGCAUGUGGUUUAAUUCGAAGCAACGCGAAGAACCUUACCAGGCCUUGACAUCCCGAUGCUAUUUCUAGAGAUAGAAAGUUACUUCGGUACAUCGGUGACAGGUGGUGCAUGGUUGUCGUCAGCUCGUGUCGUGAGAUGUUGGGUUAAGUCCCGCAACGAGCGCAACCCCUAUUGUUAGUUGCCAUCAUUCAGUUGGGCACUCUAGCGAGACUGCCGGUAAUAAACCGGAGGAAGGUGGGGAUGACGUCAAAUCAUCAUGCCCCUUAUGACCUGGGCUACACACGUGCUACAAUGGUUGGUACAACGAGUUGCGAGUCGGUGACGGCGAGCUAAUCUCUUAAAGCCAAUCUCAGUUCGGAUUGUAGGCUGCAACUCGCCUACAUGAAGUCGGAAUCGCUAGUAAUCGCGGAUCAGCACGCCGCGGUGAAUACGUUCCCGGGCCU
This 1369-nucleotide ribosomal RNA is filed under the name uncultured bacterium. RNAcentral describes it as "bacterial SSU rRNA". It matches the Rfam family "Bacterial small subunit ribosomal RNA", at positions 28 to 1381 of the family's 1533-position model. The record is from RNAcentral.